GGCCUACCAUGGUGGUAACGGGUAACGGGGUGUUAGGGCACGACACCGGAGAGGGAGCCUGAGAAACGGCUACCACAUUCAAGGAUGGCAGCAGGCGCGCAAAUUACCCAAUCCCGACACGGGGAGGUAGUGACAAUAAAUAACAAUACGGGGUUCUUUCGGAUUUCGUAAUUGGAAUGAGUACAAUUUAAAUCUCUUAACGAGGAACAAUUGGAGGGCAAGUCUGGUGCCAGCAGCCGCGGUAAUUCCAGCUCCAAUAGCGUAUAUUAAAGUUGUUGCAGUUAAAAAGCUCGUAGUUGAAUUUCGGGAUCGACGGGUCGGUCGCGCCUCUGGUGUGUACUGGCCCUGUCGGUUUCUCCCUUCUGACGAACCACGAUGUCAUUAAUUUGGUGUCGUGGGAAAUCAGGACUGUUACUUUGAAAAAAUUAGAGUGUUUAAAGCAGGCAUUCGCUUGAAUACAUUAGCAUGGAAUAAUGAAAUAGGACGUUUGAUCUUAUUUUGUUGGUUUCUAAGAUCGACGUAAUGAUUAAUAGGGAUAGUUGGGGGCAUUAGUAUUCAAUUGUCAGAGGUGAAAUUCUUGGAUUUAUUGAAGACUAACUACUGCGAAAGCAUUUGCCAAGGAUGUUUUCAUUAAUCAAGAACGAAAGUUAGGGGAUCGAAGACGAUCAGAUACCGUCGUAGUCUUAACCAUAAACUAUGCCGACUAGGGAUCGGAUGAUGUUAAUUUUUUAAUGACUCAUUCGGCGCCUUACG
RNAcentral lists this ribosomal RNA (753 nucleotides) under uncultured Glomus. RNAcentral's name for it is "SSU rRNA". It matches the Rfam family "Eukaryotic small subunit ribosomal RNA", at positions 338 to 1092 of the family's 1831-position model. Lineage: Eukaryota; Fungi; Glomeromycota; Glomeromycetes; Glomerales; Glomeraceae. The record is from RNAcentral.